GGGAAUUGGUAUCUACACAGAAUAAGUCAUU
This 31-nucleotide non-coding RNA is filed under the name Rattus norvegicus (Norway rat). The record is from RNAcentral. Lineage: Eukaryota; Metazoa; Chordata; Mammalia; Rodentia; Muridae.